RNAcentral lists this ribosomal RNA (329 nucleotides) under uncultured eukaryote. RNAcentral describes it as "partial 18S ribosomal RNA". It matches the Rfam family "Eukaryotic small subunit ribosomal RNA", at positions 1470 to 1796 of the family's 1831-position model. The record is from RNAcentral.
CCCUUAGAUGUUCUGGGCCGCACGCGCGCUACACUGAUGCAUUCAACGAGUCUAAAACCUGCUCUGAUAGGGGUGGGUAAUCUUUUGAAUGUGCAUCGUGAUUGGGAUAGAUGAUUGCAAUUUUUCAUCUUCACCGAGGAAUGCCUAGUAAACGCAAGUCAUCAGCUUGCAUUGAUUACGUCCCUGCCCUUUGUACACACCGCCCGUCGCUCCUACCGAUUGAAUGAUCCGAUGAAUAUCAUGGAUUGAGGAUGCAAGUAGGUUAGCCUAUCUUCAUCUUCGAGAAGUGAAGUAAAUCUUAUCAUUUAGAGGAAGGAGAAGUCGUAACA